Molecule: long non-coding RNA, 516 nt
Filed under: Bos taurus (domestic cattle)
Lineage: Eukaryota; Metazoa; Chordata; Mammalia; Artiodactyla; Bovidae
Description: long non-coding RNA NONBTAT024992
Source: RNAcentral
GACCUUCCCUCGGUUCACGAUGCCAUGGCGUCUGCCCAUGUUCAUCAGGCUGGCUGGGGUGGUUCUGCCUCAUGUAGCUCCUUCCUUGGAAUAGGUUGCUGGGGCAUGUUCUUCUCAGGGGGAUUCUAGAGGCAUGAGACAGCAAGCCCUACUGUGAAAACACAUUUCUAAGCUUCUAUUGGUAUUCCAUCUACUAGGUUUCCAUUGGUUAAAGCAGGUCAUAUGAUGAAGUUCAAAGUCAAGGGGGAGGAAAGGACACUUCACCAAGAAGAUUUGGCCAAGAAAGGUGAAGAACUGGCUAAUAGUUUGCUGUGCCACAGGGAAUAUGGAUUCUAUGGAUGAAGAUACUUGCAUAUACUUUGAGCAGAAAGACCAUUAGAAGAACUCAUGUUCCAUUAUGGCCAAAGGUCAAAUGUCCAGACUUGUCUAGUGAUGCCGUUCUAAGGAGCCUUAGCACUCAACACCUGCCUGUCCUUCCUCUAAACUUGCAAAUAAAGUUGAUGAAAGUGGACAAUG